RNAcentral lists this long non-coding RNA (414 nucleotides) under Brassica napus (rape). RNAcentral describes it as "long non-coding RNA (BNAP_LNC021565)". Lineage: Eukaryota; Viridiplantae; Streptophyta; Magnoliopsida; Brassicales; Brassicaceae. The record is from RNAcentral.
UCGGUUACAUCCGAGCAGGAAAUCGCCUCGCAACCAAAUCCACAAGGGUUCUGCGUCGAGCCUCUUAAAAUUUGUCUCCCUCGGAUAAAAAGAAAACAAUUUUAUACAACUAAAGGAAACAGUAUACGAAACAUUCAUCGUAUAACUUAAACCCAAAGUGGAAGCUCGUUUUAAAACAACCAUCAACCAUAACACGGAAAACUCCGCUAUACUUGGCCUAUCAAUCUCGACAAACGCUUUUUGGCCCUCGGCCAACUACGCUUCCCCGUAAAACCCGAACCAGAAUUCAGCAUCCUCUUUGAGGAUAAUCGUAAGACAAAAUUUCCAUGGUCUGGUCCUUUACCAACAACGUCCUUGGCUAUACGGUUGAACACAAUCUUCAUCCAAGCCAUAAUAAUUAAGCAACCACCGGUC